GAUGAACGCUAGCGGCAGGCUUAACACAUGCAAGUCGAGGGGCAUCGGGGGUGAAAGCUUGCUUUCACCUGCCGGCGACCGGCGCACGGGUGAGUAACACGUAUGCAACCUGCCCUCCACUGGGGGAUAAGCGGAAGAAAUUCCGUCUAAUACCGCAUAAUAACCUCGGGAGACAUCUUCCGGGGUUUAAAGGAGUGAUCCGGUGGCGGAUGGGCAUGCGGCGCAUUAGCUUGUGGCGGGGUAACGGCCCACCAAGGCGACGAUGCGUAGGGGUUCUGAGAGGAAGGUCCCCCACACUGGUACUGAGACACGGACCAGACUCCUACGGGAGGCAGCAGUGAGGAAUAUUGGUCAAUGGGCGGGAGCCUGAACCAGCCAAGUCGCGUGAGGGAAGACGGUCCUAUGGAUUGUAAACCUCUUUUGUCGGGGAGCAAAGAGAUCACGUGUGGUCAAAAGCGAGAGUACCCGAAGAAAAAGCAUCGGCUAACUCCGUG
Molecule: ribosomal RNA, 494 nt
Filed under: uncultured bacterium
Lineage: Bacteria
Description: bacterial SSU rRNA
Rfam family: Bacterial small subunit ribosomal RNA
Source: RNAcentral